This 244-nucleotide ribosomal RNA is filed under the name uncultured Staphylococcus sp. RNAcentral describes it as "partial 16S ribosomal RNA". It matches the Rfam family "Bacterial small subunit ribosomal RNA", at positions 96 to 334 of the family's 1533-position model. The record is from RNAcentral. Lineage: Bacteria; Bacillati; Bacillota; Bacilli; Caryophanales; Staphylococcaceae.
CGGCGGACGGGUGAGUAACACGUGGAUAACCUACCUAUAAGACUGGGAUAACUUCGGGAAACCGGAGCUAAUACCGGAUAAUAUAUUGAACCGCAUGGUUCAAUAGUGAAAGACGGUUCUGCUGUCACUUAUAGAUGGAUCCGCGCCGCAUUAGCUAGUUGGUAAGGUAACGGCUUACCAAGGCAACGAUGCGUAGCCGACCUGAGAGGGUGAUCGGCCGCACUGGAACUGAGACACGGUCCAG